CCUUGGGAUCUGCCUGCCUUGGCCUCCCAAAGUGCUGGGAUUACAGGCGUGAGCCACUGCACCUGGCAUAAUUUUGGCUACUCUUAAUCAACCCCAGAAGGUUUAAUAAGAACUUUGAUUAGCUACUUUCUAGCUUCAUGAAUUUACCAAGCUAUUCCUGGUUUUGCACCUUUAAGAAACUCAUUUUUUAAAUCUGAUGAAUAUAUGUCCAUAAGAAGCUUUACUUGGUUAAAAUUAAAUACAUACAAAAUUGACAGAAAAAUUAUUUUGUCAAAGAAAAAUGAACGAAGAGUAGUGUCAUUUUUCAUUGUCACAUUCAUUUCUCUAAGAAAUGGAUCUGUCCUUCAACAUCUCCUCCUAGCCCAUACUGUUUGAAUAUAGAGGGCUCUUGGGCCAUGGUCCGGGGAUUAUUUAUAAUCAGCAACAAGGGGUUACAGUGUCAUGGCUUACAAUUUGGUGGGGUGGGACCAGGGACUAGUUGGAGUUUUUUGUUUUGGUCGUCAUAAUUUAUUUGAAGCAGGGAGCUUGGCUCUCCACCCUUUGUACUUAUUAGUCCACCAAACAUCUGCCCAGUCACCACUGGGACUUUUAACACUCCAUACUUAUACAUGCUUGAUUUUUUGUGGUAUAGACAUAGACACUUAUCAACAUGGGCUAGCUUCUUUUGACCUUGCUCAUCUCCAUACGGGAUGACUGAACAGGCAUCAAACUGAAGGGUUAAAAAAUGACUAGCCUGAGUUACACUGAUGACAAGAUGACCUUCUGUUGAAAAGAAAAAAGAGAAUAAAUAAGUGAUUAUUAAGCUCUUUUUAGAGUUAAUUUGGUGGGGGUGGGCUGUGGAGUGACAGUUCAUGAUUCUGGAGGUGGCGGCACCUUCUUGACUCGGGUGUGAUGAGUCCAUCCUCUUUCUGUUGUCCAGACUGCAGUCUCAGUACAUAGGAGCACUAGGUAGGGUCCUUCCCAGGCUGGUUCGAGCUUCCUUUUCUUCUACCCUUGGAUGAGAACAUGGUCUCAAGGCCAAUGCUGAUGUUCUGGAAACUCCAGGGGUGAUGCCUGUGCUAGGAGACCUUUAGUCCCAAGGGAAAAGAAGGUAGAGCCUAGACCAAGUAUAUAAUUUUUGAGGAAAUGAUCCUUUGUUUCAAACAUAGGGAUGUCAGCAAUGGAGUGUAAGUAGGGCAUUCCAUAGAGCGUUUCCUCAGGUGACAGGCCAAUAUCUUUCCAAGGGGCAGUCCGGAUUCUUAACCAAGCAAUAGGAGUAUAUUUAGUCCAUGGCAAUCGAGUUUCUAAAACUAAGUUAAGUGGUUUAUUAGAGUCUGAUUCAUCCACUCUACUCUUCCUGUGGAGGAUGGAUGCCAAGGAGUAUGGUAUUCCCAAUGUAUAUCUAGUACCUGUGCUAACUUCUUAAUGACAUGCACAGUGAAAUGGGUUGCAGUAUCUGAAUCAGUAUUUUCUAUUAGUUCAAAUCUGGGUAUGAUGUUUUCAAUUAGCGCUUUAACUACAUUACUGGAGGUUGCACGUGAGAAUGGGAUUGCCUCUACCCAGUGGGUAAAAUGGUCUAUUAUUACUAAUAAGUAUAACUACCAAUUGGAGGCAUUUCAGUGUAAUUGAUCUGAACACUUUGAAAUGGUCUCAGUGCUGGAUUUCUUCCACCAAGGCGCAAUUUCCUUAGAUCCUGCUUAUUAGCUUUUUUUACAUGUUAAGCAACUAUCUAUAACUUGUUUGGCCAGGGUGUAAAUUCUUAUACACCCAUAAACCCGGAGAACUGCAUUGCACAUUGCUUGGGGUCCCCAAUGGGUCCCUUGAUGUAAUUGAGACAAGACUUCCCUCAUGAGAGGUUUUGACAACAUUUCCCUUUGAUCUGAUAAUAUCCAUUUCCUAUCCGCAUUUUCUUUAGCUCCUAUUUUUAUCAACGUCUUUUGUUCAAUGGAAGAGAAAACGGGUUACAGUAGGAGGAGGGCAUGGAGUUAAAUGGAAGAAAUGGCAACUUGUUUUGCUAUUUUAUUGUAACCGACUGAGUUAUAGAGAGAAUGCCACAGUCUGAGACUAAUUCAGUGAUCCUUUAUUGCCAGCAACCGAGAGACGGCUAGAGCUCAAAAUUCUCUCAGCCCCGAAGAAGGGGCUACACAUCUUUUUACACCUUGGUCUAAAGAGGGGAGGAGGAGUGUAGCUGAAGCAAUUUUUUACAGAAGCAGAACAGGCAAAAAAGUUGAAAGAUAAAUGGUUACAGAAACAGUAAUAAGAAAAUAAACAGUUCCAGGUGCAGGGGCUUAAAUUAUCACAAAGUGAUAAACGCAAAGGCUUUGGGCACCGUCAACCGAGUGCGUUCCCAGGAGCUGCUGGUACAGCUUGCCUCAGUAUCUUAUCAGUAAGCGCAUUCUUGGAUGUGCUUGGAGUCAGCUUGCACCAGUUAUGUCCUUAAGGGAGGGGGACAAGGGGCUGCAAGUGAAGAAACCAAAAUGGAGUCUGUCCAGCUCUCUCAGCUAAGAGAGAGUCAAUCAGGUUAAAAGAAGUUAGGGUAUCACAUUUCCCACUCGUGUUUGGGGGAAUCAGAUCAUUGAUUCCUCGGUUAUAACAAGGGUGUUAUAUUGGGUUCUAAGAUACAUAAGAUUGACAGAAGCUAUGCGUUGCUUUACAAAAUUAAGAAACCAAUUUAAUAUACAAGGCCUGAAGACUAACCCUAACAAGAGGAGGAGAAGGGGGUCCCGCCAACCCAGUAAUUAGAGUAGUUAGCCAGGGAUUCCAGUUAAACAUGCUUUGGUACUUUGGUACUCCAGGAAUGAGAAAGGUGGUGUUACUUUCUUGUUCCUUCUGGCAUCUAUCUAGAUUUUCUCGAACUCUUUGAAGAGUAUUUUUUAUGACUCCAGACUGAUUGGCAUAGAAACAACAACUUUCUUCUAGAGCUGUGCAUAAACCUCCUUGGGAGAUAAAUAGCAGAUCUAAGCCUCGGCGGUUUUGAAGAACUACUUCAGCUAGAGACUCUACCUGGGCAUGUAGUAUAUUUAUGGCUGAUUGGAGAUUGCUUAAAUCAGCAUCUACCUGUUGAGAUAGUGAUAUUAGUCCAGUUUCUCCUUGAAUCAGGGCAGUCGUGCCAAUAGCUGCUGACGUAGCUAUGCUAAGGCCAGCUAGAAGGGGUACAAGGAGUAGGGCAGCUCGGUGAAACCUGAAAUGCAAUUCAGGGGGAGCAAUGAGAAGUUGUCCUUCUGGCCCACUGUACAUGUAGAUCUGGGGGAGUACAUGAAUCAACAUGCAUAGGAGAGGUCCAGGUUCAGUCCCAUUGAUGCAGCGAGUGAGGCCUGAAAUGCAGGCCAACCAGGUAUUUUUGGGUGCCUGGUAGGAGACUGAGGGGUUUAAGGAAGUAAGGAGAGACUCACUACAAGUAGCCUGAAAGGGAGAAGCAGGUAAGUUAUACCUUGCGCUAAUUAGACAGAAGGCAUUCCCUGACACAUCUCCUAGUGUAAGGGCAUGGGGGCACGUAUGACAAGAAAGAGAGUCCAUUUUGAGCAUGGCUUCUACUCCUAAUCCAACAUAAUAUGGGGGUUUGGCCUUUCGGCACAACCAGCAAUCUCAGGCUAGUUUAGGCUUGGUGAGAUUAAGGAGGUGAUGUAUCCCGUCCAAAAUGGACAUCGGGCUGGGUUGGAGGUAUUGUCAUUGCAGCUGGGGUCUCAGAACCAGGAAUGGCAGUGGGACAGUUAAAUCGACUCUCUCUGGGUGUUUUUGGAACAUAGGGUCACCUAAAUCAGUUAAAGUUCUGAUUGGCUUCAUGGGACCAGGAAUUUUUUCUGGAUGGUGAACAUAGUUCCAACAUCAAAUCCUGAAAUAUAAAGCCUUAAUCCCUAUGACAUGCUGUAAUACCAUUGAGUUAAACUAGGGUUACGGAGAGUUAUAGUAAGAGGAUUACAAUUUCCUAUAGUACACGGCUUAGGAUGGGAAGCACAAGCUAUGGAAAGGGUUGAGGAUCAGGUUCAUCCUCCAGAGUAAGUGGCCAAGGUUACACACAUGCAGUAAGGGCAGAAAAACUGGUAAGAAUCUCGACAACUAGAGUCAGGGCGAUUUCCAGGACAAAGGUAAAAGUCAACGCUCUGGAGCCUUUUUUCUGCACCCUUAGAACUUCCACAUCCAGUUUGGCUUCUGGUGUGUCCGAACCCUGCAGCAAGGUCAGCGUUCCCUGCUCUCAUGAUCGGCAGAUUGCAUUGCUCUUCAAGGGUAUGGGCAGGGUCGGGGAACAAAGCACAUAAACCGACUACAAAAGAGACUUCCUUGGAGGGUCCCACCUUCCAAGUGGUGUUUGCAAACACACAUCCUGUCAUGAAGGAAGUGAGGAGAAAAGAGUAGGAAGGGGCAGAGGACAUAACAGGUGGAAACAGACAGAAGAGGUAAAUAAAAAGAAUUAAUUCGAUAGCUUUACUCAACUUAGGCGCAGUUUUAAGGGGCCUGGCCUAGGCUUGGGGACCCAUUUUUUUUGCUGGGCUUUGUUGGCCUUUUUGAUGCGAGAAUGAUGAAUCCAAGCAGGAGUGCCGUCCACCUUCAGAGCUGUUGGUGUGGUGAGGAUGACAGUAUGAGGUCCUUUCCAGGCAGGAGUCAGUCCUUUUUUCUGGAACUUUUUAACAUACACUAGGUCACCCAGCUGGAAAGAGUGGCAGGGCCCAGUCUGGUCAGGAACUGGGCUGGGGUGUGCUCCCCUGACAAGCAGCUGGAUGAUGUCUUGUACCCGUUGGAGAGACUGCAGGUACUGUAACAAGUUAGCUUGUGAGAUUUCUGCUAAAUGGGUAUCCUUUAGCUUAGGCAAGAUAGGCGGAGCCCUUCCAUACAUGAUUUCAAAAGGUGAAAACCCAGCCUGGUAAGGGGUGCAUCUUACUCUAAGAAGGGCUAAAGGAAGGAGCUUUACCUAGUUUUCACUGGUUUCUAGGAUUAAUUUUGCAAGAGUACUUUUUAGGAUGGGGUUCAUGCAUUCUACUUGUCCAGAGCUCUGGGGUCGAUAGGCACAAUGGAGUUUCCAUUGAAUGUUUAAUGCCUUGCUGACCGACUGAGCUAUGGACGAGGUGAAGGCUGGUCCAUUAUCAGACCUUAUUACAACAGGCAGUCCAUGUUGAGGGAUGAUUUCAUUGAGUAAAAGCUUAACUACCGUGGUAGCAGUUUCGUUUUUGGUGGCAAAUGCCUCAGUCCAUCCAGAAAAGGUGUCUACUAGCACCAGGAGGUAUUUAUACCCUGCCAAGUGUGGUUUUACCUCUGUAAAGUCAAUUUCCCACCUUCCUCCUGGCAAGCCUCCCUGGAGGCGGUGGCCUGGGCUGGGCUUAGGACCUUGCUUGGUGUUUACUUGGGCACAAGCCGUUUACUGGAGAGCUGCUUGGUUAGUUAAGUCCUGAAGGUGGGGGAUCUUGAAAUGGCUCCUUAGAAGCUGGGCCAGUUUUACUCCUCCUAAAUGGGUGGUAGAAUGUAGAUGAUUGAUAAAAGUUUCCCCAAGGGCUUGGGGCAUGAAGAUUCUGGAAUCAGGAAGAAUUCACCAACCUUCCUGAUUUUUACUGGCUUGAAGAUCCGAAGCUUGUUUUUCUUCCUCUGGGGAGUAUUCUGGGUAGUCUGCCCAGUCAGUUGUGGAAAGGACACAGAGGGCAGCAGGGUUAAAGGCACGACCAGGAGCUGAGCUGCCUCUCAAGCUGCAGAGUCUGCUCUUUGGUUACCACGAGCAAUGGCCAUGUCUUCUCUUUGAUGUCCUUUGCAGUGAAUUGCAGCCACCUGUUGAGGGAGCCAAACAGCUUCAAGCAGGGCUAAAAUUUCUUCUUUGUUGUUGACACUCUUUCCUGCUGAGGUAGGAAAUGCUGGGAAGAAAAAGCUGGGCCUUCUUGGCUGGGACCUGAUACCCGAAUUCCUGAAGGAGGUAAAGUAGGUCCGUAGUAUGUUGCAGGCAGCUGUCAGUAGUUUCAGUAGCCAAUAACAGGUCGUCUACAUACUGGAGAAGAGUGCAGUUAGGGUGACUGGCUCAGAAUGGUAAAAGAUCCUGUUGGAGGGCUUCCCUAAAAAGGGUGGGGGAAUUUUUAAAACUUCGGGGUAACCAAGUCCAGGUUAAUUGGGUGGUGUCUACCGAGCCAGGAUAUGUCUGUUCAAAAGCAAAGAUAGGUUGACUUUUGGGGCCAGAGGAAUAGCAAAAAAAAGCAUCCUUGAAGUCAAGGACAGUGUACACCAUAUGUUCUGGUGGGAGCAGGCUGAGUAAAGUAUAAGGGUUAGAGACAGUUGGAUGGACAGUGACUGUCUGCUUGUUACCUUCCUGCAAGUCCUGUACAGGCUGGUAAUCAUUUGUUCCGGGUUUCUGGACCGGCAAAAAUGGAAUAUUCCAGGCGAUCUCACAUGGUAUAUGGUCCCUCUCUUCAGAGGUGAAAAGGGAUGAAAGGAGUUGCUGACACUCAUCCCAGAGUGUCCAGAGUUUGCCUUUUUUAAGGCGGACCCCGUAAUCAUCUGAGAAGCCUAGAGAGAAAUUCUGCAACAUACACUGGAGAGGACUCCAAUCUUUAUGGGGCCGGGAAGAAGAGUUUACUAUUCUGGAGGCAAUUAACAAGGUUUGAACAAAAAUAUUAAACCCAGCAUGGACAAAGAUAUUCACGGCCUGGGAGGCUAUGGUAUCAGAAGAACAGAAGUAUUAUAGCUAGAAGAAGUAGGAAAACAACUAUAGCCAAUAUUUCUUGCCACAUAAGGUCUGUCUCCUCAAGCUUCGAGAUCUAUGGAGAGGAUAAGAGGUGGGUCCAAGGGAUCCUCAGCCAGUGGGACUUAGGUGACCCCCCCUUCUUGACUUAUAUCCCAAAUAACUUUGGUGUCUCCACGACUCGAAAGCAAAAUGUUCAAACUCGGUCCUUUCCUUCACGGGUUUAAGGAGGGAGAACACAGCCAAGUCUUAGAGACGCUGGACUUGCUGCAACACAGGAAAAUGAGAUGUGCAGGGUAAGGGAUGGGGAUGAGGAGGAAAGGGGCCACUUGGAUUUCCCUAAAGGUUGGAGAGUAGCCAAAAGAGGUAAAAUAAGAGUCCAGACAGAGUAGAGCAGUAUGGGUGUAGGUUUCUCUGCACAGUGCCUUAUUUAAGGGCAUGGGAAAAGUUAUGGGAUGACAGAAAAGGUGAGUAAGGAGGUCAGCAGGGUGGCUAUUUUGGAUCCACCACUGGUCUAAGGAGAAGGUGGACCAGUCGUUGGGGCGUGGGGUAUGGCAAUCCAAACGCCAGCAAUCUUUAUGGUGCCAGAAAUCCUAAACGGGUGAAUGUCUUCCACACCCUUCCCCAUAACAACACCUAAUUUGUUUCUGACAGGAAAGGCAGGACUGGGAUGGCCAGCCCAACCGACUAAUGAGGAAUUUGACCUCCUGGGAUAGAAAAUCUGUACUAAGGACCUUGAAGAAGUCCUUGCCCAGUCAUUUUGGGCAGUAUCGACGAUCCGACAUAUGAAAUUUAGACAGACACUAAACAGGACAAUAGGCACUGGGGUAUAUAAACAAGCAUGGCAAUUUUUAUAGACAGACAAGGGGAGGGGGUCCCGUGAUGGGAUCAGUCAGAUGCCCUCCUGGCUGCUCCCCUUUCGGGGACUUAGGCUCCUCUUGGCAUUGGCAGGCUGGUAUAAACCCCUGGCUUGGAUCGAGCUAUGCCUGAUGCCGCCCUAAGCCUUAUGAGGUCACCACGGAACCACAGGUGAGGGCCUUCUCGAAUUCCCUAGCUUUCACCCUGGAGCUACAAACUGGAAAUUCAAGCGCAAGCCCUUGAACUCCACAUUCACUCACUCACUCACUCACUCAGAGUUUAUUACAAUUUUUAUACCCAUUCUAAAACAGAGAUCUCCCGGAGACCUGAAUGAGAGAGGGAGAAGAGAUAGAGAGAGAGAGAGACUAGACUUAACAGAGAAUCCUGACAGAAACCAGGACUCUGUCCUCCAGUGUCCUGGAGCAUGGACAGAGUCUGAGGGAGGACCUUCGUCAGGGCCGUUUCCCUCCCAGAGAGACAGAGUCAGAUCUGACUUACCUUCCCGGGACUAGAGACUGAGGACUCAGGAGUUGAAUUUGGCUGGGCGCACCGGCAGUCGAUCCGUUCCCCUCCAGAAGACAGUGGCCUGUGGAGCCCUGGAACGUCUUCAGGUGGCCCUGUAAGCCAGCUGUCUGUCUGGGGAAGCCCGGAAUGAGUCAGGUCUUCACCCGGUGGCGAAUCUCUCUGGGGCUUCCAAAUGUCGUAACCGAGCAAGUCAUAGAGAGAAUGCCACACUCUGAGACUAAUUCAGGAGUCCUUUAUUGCUGGCGACUGAGAAAGAGCUAGAGCUUGAAAUUCUCUCGGUCCGGAAGAAGAGGCUAGAGUUCUUUUUAUACCUUGGCCUAAAGAGGGGAGGGGGAGUCUAGCUGAAGCAAUUUUUUACAGAAGCAGAACAGGAAAAAAUUAAAAGAUAAAUGGUUACAGAAACAGUUACAGGAAAAUAAACAGUUCCAGGUGCAGGGGCUUAAAGUAUCCCAAAGUGAUAAAAGCAGGGGCUUUGGAUACCACCAACCAAGUGUGCUCCCAGGAGCUGCUGGUACAGCUUGCCUCAGUAUCUUAUCAAUAAGCGCAUUCUUGGAUGUGCUUGGAGUCAGCUUGCACCAGUUAUGUCCUUAAGGAGGGGGACAAGGGGCUGCAAGCGAAGAAACCAAGCUAAGACUCUCUCAGCUAUUGACUCUCUCGAUAUUGACUCUCAAUUGAGUCUCCCAAGCUAUUGACUCUCUCAGCUAAGAAAGAGUCAAUCAGGAUAAAACAAGAUAGGGUAUCACAAUUUGAUCUGCAAGAUUAUUUCCUGGACUUGUGAAAGGCGAGUCGUUUUGGUGCCCUGGGACAUGUACAAUAGCUAUCUCUUCUGGCAAUUGGAGAUUGUUGAGGACACGAGCAUCAGUUCUCUAUGAACUAAAUCUUGGCCUCUACUAUUGAUAAGAGCCCUCUCCAUCCAAAUUUUCCCAAAUGUGUGUGCCUCCCCAGAGGGAUACUUAGAGUCAGUAUAGAUAGAUUUUCUUGGUUUUGUAAAUGUCCUAAAGCUUGGCUGAGUGCAAACAGUUCACACCCUUGGACAGACCAAUUAUUAGACCCCCUUCCUGAUUUUACUUUUUUAACAGUCUUUCCAUUAAUCACUGAAUACCUAUUAUGUCUCUUUCUUUUAAUCACCUGGGAGGUUCCAUCUAUGAAUAAGUGCCACCCUGUCUUGAAGGGAGUUUUUCCUAAGUCUGGUUGAACUUUCGUAUGGUAAUUAAUUCGAUUUAAACACGCGUGCUCUCUCGUUUUACGUUUGGAUCCCCCGUUAAAGAGCCUGCUGAAUAAAGUGAAUUAUUAGUACUUAAUAUUAAAUCACCUUUUUCCCAGAAAGAUAGCCUCAUAUUUUAAAAUUUUUGAGUUGGUAAUCUCCCUCCUUGCGUUUUGAUUUAAUAUAGUUUUAACUUGGUGGGUUGUGGCCUGAAGCGGCUGGGGAGUAACUUGAAACCUCAGCUGAAGGGACAGCACAGGCUGGGGCGUGGCCUGAAACAGCUGGGGAGUAACCUGAAACCACAGCCGGAGGGACCUGAGAGGGGAACCAAAGGGGCAGGAUUGGGGGCGCUGAAGGAAGGAAGGUGAUUUAGAGGAUCCCAUGUCUUGGUAGGUAUGGGUUGUCUAGGCAUGGGAACUCUUUCCUUUUUAGAAAGGUUGGUUUCUGAUUUUCUCCCUCCAGAGUCUAAAGGGUAAAGGAGAACUGGUCCCUGCCGCCAGCAGAGGGCGUAAUCGAUUUUUCCUGGGACACAGGGCUCUUACUGUUAACAUAUUUGAUUAACAGCUGACAAAUUCGCUCUUCAUUAGACUUAAAUUUUGGCCAGAAAAGUGAGGGCUUAAGGAUGGGUUCUCGAACUUAAAUAAAACAACAAUAUUCUAUCAUCUGCUGUUUUUGUUUAUACUUGGUUCUCUUAUUAUUUUUUCAAUACUUUAGCAUAAGCCCCAAGGGGCUAUCAGAAGGAAAUUCAUCACUCUCUAGACUCUUUAGUUUUCCUGUCUUACUUGAAACGUUCCCCAUCUUAGGGAUUAUGGGGAGGAGGCCCAACCCCUCCUGUGAGAUUUCUACCCUCCCCCUUCCUGGAGGCUUACUGAGGCUUUGGGGAAAGGCUCCAACCCAACCUGUUUGGAUUUCUACCCUCCCCCUUCCUCUUUGUCUACUCUGUCUGUUCCUGACUCUAGUUGACAGAUGGCAGCAUGAGGCCAUAGAGAAGACUCACUCACUCCACAUAACCACCAUACUAAGUCCCAUUCAUACACUGUCAGCCUCCAGCUUAUCCCAACCACCUGGGAAAUACUUUGUCACCUUCGCCAAGUCUCCUACCUUAUUCCAUGCACAAGAAUUUCCUGGUCCUCUUAUUGUUGCGGUCUUGCAAGCUUCUCCUCCCCGCUUUGCUGAGAUCCAGACUUAUUUGUCACAAAGCGGGGGGGGGGCCCUGAUCUCCCUCAACCUAGGGGCACGGUAACUAGACAGUAGGAUGCGUCCCCUCCGGGUGGGGUGACCGAAGGCCCCCUUCCCAAAGGAGAAGAUUCGAGCCCCAAAGUUGGGCUCCAGAACUGUUAGGAAUAACGCUCAAAAUCUUAAGGAAAUUGAACACUUGAACAAAGGAUUCUUAGCAAAGCAAUUUUACUUCUGCGCAGAGAGGUGCCUCCUUGUCCAGUCGCCAUGAGAGCACACCUGAAAAAGGGGCACGAGAGCCUUUACUCCUGACACAAGUACUGCCCCUGUACCCUUUCUCCAUUGGCCAGGGUCAGGUCGUACAAUCUAAACUAAUCCUGGUUGGCUAAACAUUGGAUUUUUUUUAGAUAAGGUGGGCACGUAAAAAAGGCAGAGAAUAAAGGGGAAGGGGUGUCUGUAAUGAGCUAAAAAGUUAGUCCUCUUUCCAAAUAAGGAAAGGAAUGUGAGCAGGUACAGAUACCACCUGGUACUGUGGCAUGCCUGGGCAUGUAACAAAGGAAAAAAGAGAAAAAAGGAGAAAAAGGAAAAAAGGUGGAGGGAUUA
RNAcentral lists this long non-coding RNA (10997 nucleotides) under Homo sapiens (human). RNAcentral describes it as "HSALNT0343593". Lineage: Eukaryota; Metazoa; Chordata; Mammalia; Primates; Hominidae. The record is from RNAcentral.